Molecule: ribosomal RNA, 465 nt
Filed under: uncultured bacterium
Lineage: Bacteria
Description: partial 16S ribosomal RNA
Rfam family: Bacterial small subunit ribosomal RNA
Source: RNAcentral
GACGAACGCUGGCGGCGUGCUUAACACAUGCAAGUCGAACGGUAAGGCUCCAGCUUGCUGGGGUACACGAGUGGCGAACGGGUGAGUAACACGUGGGUGACCUGCCCUGCACUUCGGGAUAAGCCUGGGAAACUGGGUCUAAUACCGGAUAGGACCGCACCGUGAGGGUGUGGUGGAAAGUUUUUUCGGUGUGGGAUGGGCCCGCGGCCUAUCAGCUUGUUGGUGGGGUAAUGGCCUACCAAGGCGGCGACGGGUAGCCGGCCUGAGAGGGUGGACGGCCACAUUGGGACUGAGACACGGCCCAGACUCCUACGGGAGGCAGCAGUGGGGAAUAUUGCACAAUGGGCGGAAGCCUGAUGCAGCGACGCCGCGUGGGGGAUGACGGCCUUCGGGUUGUAAACUCCUUUCACCAUCGACGAAGGGUUUCCGACGGUAGAUGGAGAAGAAGCACCGGCUAACUACGUG